This 211-nucleotide unclassified non-coding RNA is filed under the name Hevea brasiliensis (rubber tree). Lineage: Eukaryota; Viridiplantae; Streptophyta; Magnoliopsida; Malpighiales; Euphorbiaceae. The record is from RNAcentral.
AUGCAUCUUGUUGUUUCCAGGCUUCUCCCUUGGAAGGAACGGAUUCAGGUUUUGCGGAGAGCAGGCGACUGGAUGGGUGCCUUGAACAUGGCAAUGACACUUUAUGAUGGCCAAGCUCAUGGUGUUAUUGACCUCCCAAGAGCCGUGGAUGCUGUACAAGAAAUCAUAAUGCCUUACCUGGUGGAGUUGCUAUUGUCAUAUGUAGAUGAAG